This 440-nucleotide ribosomal RNA is filed under the name uncultured bacterium. RNAcentral's name for it is "partial 16S ribosomal RNA". It matches the Rfam family "Bacterial small subunit ribosomal RNA", at positions 338 to 795 of the family's 1533-position model. The record is from RNAcentral.
CCUACGGGAGGCUGCAGUGGGGGAUAUUGCACAAUGGGGGAAACCCUGAUGCAGCGACGCCGCGUGGGUGAAGAAGCGCCUCGGCGCGUAAAGCCCUGUCAGCAGGGAAGAAAAUGACGGUACCUGAAGAAGAAGACCCGGCUAACUACGUGCCAGCAGCCGCGGUAAUACGUAGGGGGCCAGCGUUAUCCGGAUUUACUGGGUGUAAAGGGGGCGCAGACGGCGAUGCAAGCCAGGAGUGAAAGCCCGGGGCCCAACCCCGGGACUGCUCUGGGAACUGCGUGGCUAGAGUGCAGGAGGGGCAGGCGGAAUGCCUGGUGUAGCGGUGAAAUGCGUAGAUAUCAGGAGGAACACCGGUGGCGAAGGCGGCCUGCUGGACUGCAACUGACGUUGAGGCCCGAAAGCGUGGGGAGCAAACAGGAUUAGAUACCCUAGUAGUC